UAAGAAGCAAGGUUAGCAUUUUUCUGUCUAACCUUCAACUUGAUAGUUUUAAUAUCCAGCCUAUUAAAUAUAUAUCAGAAAGUUUUCUAGCAGAUAAAUCUCUUAUCAAAGCAAUUUAAGCAAACAACAAAAUGAAGGGGUAAAACAUUUAGUUUUCAGGUAACACAUUCCGCAAGGACUGUGCUCUGUUUUUGUGGUAUUGCACAGGGUUGUUUGAAACUGAAGAUGCUAUACUUGAGGCUUUUUGUGGCGUCGGCUUGUGAAUUCAACCCUGAAGUGAAUGUGUUGCAUUGGUUUCAGGUGCGGUGGUGAUGAAUUACUGAAGAAAUUUCAAUCAGAGUUGUUUGAAAUCACAGAUGGAAACCAGAGGAUAUAGAGGGCCGACUGUAUGUGAGCACUCCCCAAAAUGAAAUACUAAGGUAUGAAUUUAACAAAAUAUCAAAGAAUAACUGAAUAAAUGAAGAGAUAUUUCAUGUUCAUGGAUAGGAAGGCUCAAUAUUAUCAGGAUAUUGAUUCUUUGAAACUUGAUCUAUAGAUUCAGCACAAUCCCAACCAAAAUCCUGGGAAGCUGUAUUGUGGUUAUAGACAAUUAUUUGAAAGUUCGUAUGAAGAGGCAAAAGACCCAGAAUAGUCCAUUCUAUAUUGAAGGAGAAGAACAAAGUUGGAGGACUGACACUACCUGACUUCAAGACUAACUAUAGAGCUGCAGUAAUCAAGACAGUGUGGUGUUGACAAAUAGAUCAAUGGAACAGAAUAGACAGCUCAGAAAAACACCCAUACAAAUAUGGUCAACUGAUCUUUGAUGUAGGAGCAAAGGCAAUACAAUGGAGGAAAGACAGUCUUUUCAACAAAUAGUGCUGGGAAACUAGACAUCCAAGUGCAAAAAAAAAAAAAGAAUUAGACAUAGACUUAUACCUUUCAUAGAAAUUAACUCAAAAUGGAUCAUCAACCUAAAUGUAAAAUGCAUAACAAUAAAACUUCUAGAAGAUAACACAGGAGAAAACCUAGAUGGCCUUGAGUAUAGUGAUGACUUUUUAAAUAGAGUGCCAGAAGCAUGAUUCAUAAAGGAAAUAAUUGACCAGGCACAGUGGCUUACACUUGUAAUCCCAGCACUUUGGGAGGCCGAGGCAGGCGGAUCACCUGAAGUCAGGAGUUCAAGACCUGACUAACAUGGUGAACCCCUGUUUCUACUAAAAAUACAAAAAUUAGCCAGGCGUGGUGGCACACACCUGUAAUCCUAGCUACUCGGGAGGCUGAGGCAGGACAAUCGCUUGAACCUGGGAGGCAGAGGUUACAGUGAGCUGAGAUCGUUCCAGCACUCU
Molecule: long non-coding RNA, 1322 nt
Filed under: Macaca mulatta (Rhesus monkey)
Lineage: Eukaryota; Metazoa; Chordata; Mammalia; Primates; Cercopithecidae
Description: lncRNA (ENSMMUG00000064293.1)
Source: RNAcentral